AUUACAGCUAUCGCAAAUAAGCACUGAACAUGGAAGACUCUAGUGGCAGUGGUGUCUUGGACUCGUUUAUUCACUUCGCUCUACUUGCGGGUGCCGUUUUUCAGUUGGCUUGUAUAUUUGCGGUUGUGAUAUUCCCAAAGAGAAAAGAUGAAAUGGAAGAGAUAGAAGAAGAUGGUGCCCUUGAUGCAAAUGAACCACUGAGACAAGAAACAAGUAAUUCAGGAACUAAAAAACUGAAGGCAGACACAAAAAAGAAAAAGAGAUGAUAUCUUCAAACACAGUUAUAGGAAUAAAAAGUUUGUAUGUGUGUAUGGCAAUAUGGACCAGCAGUUAACCACUGAAAUGAACAAAAAGCCAAUUUCCUGUGUAUUUUGGAUAGAGCAUCAUCUAUGGGAACAUUUCUGUGGAGAGGCAAUACAUUUUAUACCACCUGCUGUCUUACUUACUUCCAUGCCUAAGCUUGUUGGGUCUUAUAUUAUAGAGAAUCUAAACUUUAUAAAGACAAUAGAGAGAGA
This is a long non-coding RNA of Lingula anatina, 515 nucleotides long. Lineage: Eukaryota; Metazoa; Brachiopoda; Lingulata; Lingulida; Lingulidae. The record is from RefSeq and is a predicted model, not a curated record.